GCUGCCAUUGGCUAACAGGAGGCCAAAACAGACUCCUCUCCCGCCUGCAGCCACCCAGCCAGCAAACAAAGAGCUCACAGGAAACACCUGGAUGAGAGGGCAGCUGGCAAGGGGACCCGCAGGAAAGAAGAAAGGGUUUGCAGGAGGAAUUAGGCUGCUCUGCAAAGGAGUGGUGCAGAGAGAAAGCCAGAACUCUCCAGAACUCACCAGGCUUGCCCUUCCCAGCUUCCCCGUUUCUCUCUCUUCCUGGAAGGGAGAACGUGAUUCCUCAUGAUUCCACAGGUGGGCAGGAAGGAGCCACCUGCUAUAGGUCUUCUGAGUGUAACUGAAGAGAAAUACCAUGAGACACCAAGAAAGGAUUUGCAUCGGAAGAAAACGCUUAGUGAGUUGAGGAUGUUGGCUUCUCUACACCACACGGCUUCAUCUGCUACAUUUUUAUUAAAGUAACCAAAAAAAAAAAAAGAAAGAAAAAAGAAGCGCGUACAUUUGUCCAUAAAGCUGUACAUUCUUCCAUAUAAAAACACUAUUAUACAAUUAGUAACCUUUGUCUUUUCUGUCAGAAUAGCUUACCAACGUGCUAGUAUUUCUUUUUACUUAAUAGGAGAGACAGGCCUGCUCAACAGUCCAGCUCUGGGUGUUUUGCUGUUUUUUAAAGUGAACGUUAAAAAAAAAAAAAAAUAAGAAAGAAAGAGAGAGAGAAGAGAGAAAAGAUUAAGCAGGAGACCAUGAGGCUGCUUCUUUUUUAAAAAGGCAGGGAUCUGUUUGCAGACAGGAUGCAACAAUGCCACGUCCAGUGAUUCACAGCUUUGUCUCAACCCACAGGCCAGAAAAUGAGCUCUUGGGUCUGUGGGUCUGAAGUUAGCUUUAAAGCAAUAAAGGCUGGAAGCAGGGUCUGGGAAGGCAGCUUGGAGUCUAGAGUUGAAAAGAAGGCAGGACUGGCAGGACUGGGUAGGGACAGUGUUUGGUAAAUAGCACCUUUGAAUCAGAAGUGAGUGGUUAAGAAAUUCAGGGAAGGGGACGGGCUGUGGAGUGGGGGACCCUCGGGCAGGGAAGAAAGUUUCCUCACUAAGGGGCGACAGCCUGGUGGGCUGGACAGGAGGGUAGCCAGGUAGACUGGACGCUCUAGCUACGUCCUUCUAAAGUGAUUUUGAGUUUGGGAAACUCAAGGCCUUCUGAGGACCCCCUCACUAAUGUCACUGAAAAACCGAAGGAAGGCGAUUUCUUCCCAGUA
Neofelis nebulosa (Clouded leopard) is the source of this 1231-nucleotide long non-coding RNA. RefSeq lists it as uncharacterized. The transcript has 3 exons. NCBI's taxonomy places the organism in Eukaryota, Metazoa, Chordata, Mammalia, Carnivora, Felidae. The record is from RefSeq and is a predicted model, not a curated record.